AGCUGGUGGGAUGAAGCUGAGCAGCUUCUCCCCACAGAUGACAGCCUCCGGAGCUCUGCUGUUUAUGGGCUGAGUGCGUGGUGCCCUGCCUGCCUCUGCCCACUGGAACAUCCUCAGAGCCGGUUAAAUCAUACCUGCGUUUGCCUGAAAGUGAGAAAGCGCCUGUCUACACAUGGACCUCGCCACCCCCGAGAGAUUCAUCCUGGAGAGAAAAACCCUUUCCUUCUUUCUGCCUUGUCUCCUAUUUGUGGACAAAGUUACUCUGAAGACGUAAAUAAUGGUGAUCUCUUUGCUGGCAACUGAAGGCGAGCCCUUAGCUUCCAGCUUUGGGGCAAAAACCUGCUAAGAAAGGGAG
RNAcentral lists this long non-coding RNA (355 nucleotides) under Capra hircus (goat). Its description in RNAcentral is "lncRNA (ENSCHIG00010016908.1)". The record is from RNAcentral. Lineage: Eukaryota; Metazoa; Chordata; Mammalia; Artiodactyla; Bovidae.